Molecule: unclassified non-coding RNA, 1703 nt
Filed under: Hevea brasiliensis (rubber tree)
Lineage: Eukaryota; Viridiplantae; Streptophyta; Magnoliopsida; Malpighiales; Euphorbiaceae
Source: RNAcentral
UCUUGAGAUGCAAGCCAGCUAUACGUUUUAGAUGUUAGAUGCUUUUAUUUCCUUUUAUGUGUUUGGGAAUUGUUGCCAAUACUAGCAAUAAUCGUAUGUGGCCAUGUUCCUCAUCGCUUUCUCUUCGCAGUUAGAAAGCCAUAUAUUAAAGCACAAUUCAGUAUUUGACAAAUGCUCCUAAAUAGAUGUUUGUUCUUCAUAUCUGAAUUUGAGAUUCUAAAAUUUAUUUGUCAAAAUUGAAAAUAACCUUUAUGUCUUCUUUGGGAAGAGGGGAAAGGGUGGAAAAGAGAGCUUGGGAAGCAGAGUUGUUUCUCCUGUUUGGAAGAGCUAUGGAAAUCCUAAGGAAUGGGGUUUUAAGAGUGGAAUUGUCCAUUGGGGCCUACUAUUUCUUUGUCCUGCAUUUUGGGUGAAAGGUGGUGGAAACAAUUUUUUUUCUUUCGUAAAUUACAACUGCUAUCGUAAUUGACUUUUUACCCAGAAAUCUUAUUUGCAAACUUCAAAAUCAUAUCUUCUUGUGAUAAGGGCAUAAAAGUAAUUUACUUUUUAAACUAUUCUUCCCCUCCAUUUUUUCAUUCUUCCAAAAAAAAAAAAGUUUUCUCUACUAUUUCUUUCCUCACCCUUUCAUCAUUCCCAAACAAGACUAGAGAAAAAAUUUUUUUUCCAUUCCCCCCAUAUUCUUUUCCCUAUUUUUCUUUUGCCUCCUUUAUCUUUCUCCACUCUACUUUUUCCCAAGCAAAGAGCUAGUGAAGAACAUUGACACUUCAUGGAUUUCUUUAGAUUUAAAUUUUGCUUGGUAAUCCUUGACUGCCUUUUUUAAUGUUAAUUUGUUGUUAAUGUUAGGGUUAGCGUUAGGGUUACAGUUUUAUCAUUUUUUUAGAAACCUUUUAAGGCCCAUGACUUUGAUCUGAUCCUUUUGUUCUUUGGGUUUCAAUUUUUGAGUGCAUUAUGCUCAGGAUGAAGUACUGAUAUGAGAUAGAAAGCACUAUGCAAUGUCCAGUUGGCAUAAGUCUAGAAAAGUCCAGUUGUACUUAUAUAGGAUAGACAUGGGCACGUUUCGAUUCUAGACCGGAAUUGCCAGUUCGGACUGGUUCUGUUCAAUAUAGUUCCAAUUUGGCCUGGGUAUUAUCAAAUUAGAAUAAAUUUUUAGAUAUCGUUUAUUUAGUUUCUAAUAUUAUAAAAAAAAAUAAAAAUAAAGGGACCCAAAUAUGAAUCCAAUUUAAAUCUUAAAAAAAAAGAAAAAUAAAUAAAAUUUUGGAACGGGCCAGUUCUGGUUUGUCGGUUCGAACUGGCAGUCUCAGGCCGAUUACGGUUCAGGUUCAAGGAGGGGUGAAUUGAAACCAGCCCCCCCAUACCCUUGUUUCAGGUCCAUUCAUGAAGCGGAACUGUUUACCCAGUCCGGUUUAUGGUUCAAACUGGCUUGUGGCCUGGUCUAAUAUAGGGGUUGUUCACUGGUCAAGCUUAAAAAGCUUGAGUUUGGCUUAUAAAUUGAUCAAUAGAUUCAAGCACUGAAGCUGGGUUAAGCCUGAGUAAAUUUGCACCGGCUCUUUUCCAGUCUCUUUUUUGUAGAGCUAAUAAAGAUGGAUGUAGUAAAUUCAAUUUGCAUAUUUUUUUUUAGUUGUUGGUAGCGUAGUACUUUUAAGUAGUUUGUGCUUAGUCAGUCCUAAGCCCGGAUAAAGGAUAAGGGUUGCGGUAGGUGACAACCA